CUCCAUGCAAGCAGUCAUUAUUGGGAAUGGCGAGCAAGCUGGGGCUGGCGGGACCAGCAGGAGUAGUAAUGCCAGAUUGGUUUUCCCAGGUGCCUGACCCUCCUCCAGAAUCAGUUCUCCUCCCUGCCCACUGGGGACUCCCAGCACCUCUGAGCUGAUGGGCACCAUGGAGCUUGGUGAUCCCCUGUGCUCUGAUAGGCUGAGGAGGGCCAGGCAUCGGUCUGCUGAGGGGCAGAAGCCAUGUGAAAAGAUUCUUUCAGAAGGCACGGUUUGUGUCCACACCCAGGAGUAAUUGCCACUGACGUGAGCAAAGCACUGUGUAAUUUCAAGGUGUUUUCUCUCCUGUUUUCCUGUGCAGUCUUCUCAGUAUCACUAGAAGCCCAUGAGUCACUCUCUUCAGUAGGUAAGGAAAUUGAGCCCCAGAGAGGCCAAAAGGAUUGUGCAGCCUCUGCAUUAAUUGAGCUCUUACUGUAUACCAGGCUCACAACAGCCCUAUGAAAUAGGCACUAUUAUUAUCCUGAUUGUACAGGAGAAACCAGGGCUCAGAAAGGUGAAGUAACUUGUAUAAGGUGACUCAGCUAGUGAGUCACCAAGAGAGGACUGGAACCCAGGGCCCAUGCUUCAGGAGGGGGAUACAGGGUCAUCUGACCCCAGGCCCAGGUUCAGUCCCAGCUGCAGUCUCUGUCCUUCAGCCUUAAAGGUCCUUUGUUGGUUUUUUGGUUUGAGGCUCUGUUCGCUCUGAUAGUCAUUGUGUAAGGAUUUAGAAGGGGGGCAGGGCUUGGAUGUGGUCAGCUAAGGCCUGGGGCUGUCCUCUGUUGGGAAGCAGGGAGCAUGGGAGCCCUCAGCCAAGGCUCCAGGUCCAUUUUAAUAAGUGAUGUAUUAAAACAUUCCUGCUGGAGGCCACCCCACCAGUGCCAGCGGAAUGCCGGAUCCUCUGCUUGGGAAGACAGAGUCCUCCUUUCUCAAGGACUCCAUUCAGCAAAAGGAACACAAAUCUUUUAAAUACACUAUAGCAUCAGUAGCCGUGAUAGUAGCAGCAGCAGCAGCAGUCUUGAUGAGCCUCCCAGUGUGCCAGCAUCGCACAGUGGAAAACAACACCUCCCUUGGCCACCCACUUCCCAGCUGCCGAUAUAACACCAUUGUCACUGCCACUAGGGUGGGUGUCUUCGCCUGUGUGCCUCCUCACAUGUGGAUGGUACAGCUGCAAAAACUGCUGGGAGAAGAGAUUUGGAAUCCGAUCUCACUUUAUUCUGACAUCUAAGACCUUGGAAGAACUGAGACCCCAGCAGGACCAAGGUUCUGGCCAGGCUUGGACUGUGACAAGCGGUGCACUGGUUGUGAUGAGACCUGGGUUCCAGUCCUAAUACUUCCACCGAUUUGGGAGGGGUCCUUGUACUUCUCUGGGCCUUAAUUCCCCACCCAAAGCUGGGCAGUGGCCUUUCAGAGCCAGUGUAGAGUUCACAUGCAUGUGGAUGCCCCAUUGGACAUUUGCUUCCUCCUCCCUUAUACCUUCGGAAUGUCCAGAAAGCCAUCUCCUUAUUCACUGGUUCGGAGUGUUAUAGAUUGUUAAGCAUCUUCACAAGCAUAGUCUCAUUUGAGCCCCGCCACAAAGCUGUGAGGUUGGCAUGACCACCAUCCUGUGUCAAAUGGUAAAUAGAGUUCAGAGAGUGGAAGGAGCUUGCUUCAAGUCAUGCGAUCUUUGGGACACUCUUGUAAUCCCUUAAUUUUUAACCUACAAAUAAAAACAUAUAUGAUGCUAAACAUUGGAAUUAAGAGACAGCUCAGAAAUCAUCCUACCCUAUCCACUUGUUCGACUGAGAUGGAGCUGAGGCCCUAGGAGUCCUCUUUCUCCCAGACUGCACAAUGACCAGUGGCAGAGCUGGCACCAGGGCCAAGUCUGCAGUUCAUUCAAUGACUCUUGAUUGGGUGUUUUUCAAAUGUCAUAUUAUGAAAUUUAAGACAAAAACCUAAACCACUUACAGGUAGGCAAAUACUGCAUACGCUUGUGGACAUUAGGUGCCCUGCUUCUCAUGGUCUGUUUGCAGGAGGAGAGCAGAGCUCUAACAGAGAUGACUGGGCUUGUCUCACCUUGUAACUCAUGAGCUGUGGAUGUUCACGGUGGAGAUGGGUUCGUGCACUUAUUUUCCUAUCACAGUGGCAUAGGCAGCCUAGGGAGGAGGUAAGGCUGGGGAGCAGAGACAAAGAAAUGUGUGUGUUC
RNAcentral lists this long non-coding RNA (2218 nucleotides) under Aotus nancymaae (Ma's night monkey). RNAcentral describes it as "lncRNA (ENSANAG00000039291.1)". The record is from RNAcentral. Lineage: Eukaryota; Metazoa; Chordata; Mammalia; Primates; Aotidae.